GGGUCGUUAGCUCAAUUUGGCAGAGCAGGAGACUCUUAAUCUCAAGGUUAUAGGUUCAAGUCCUAUACGACCCA
RNAcentral lists this transfer RNA (74 nucleotides) under bacterium. Its description in RNAcentral is "tRNA-Lys". It matches the Rfam family "tRNA". Rfam says of the family: Transfer RNA (tRNA) molecules are approximately 80 nucleotides in length. Their secondary structure includes four short double-helical elements and three loops (D, anti-codon, and T loops). The record is from RNAcentral.